AAACAACUUCAACGGCCUUUCCAUGCCCAAAGACACUGCAGCAGAGCCGUCUAUGAAUGACAGAUGAAAUGCCUUAGAGUCUUAGUUCCAAACCACCUCCCCGGACAGUCGGAAAUCCCACUGGCUGGAGGAAUAAAUAAAUUCCUUAUCUUGUCAAGGAAGCUCCUCCCAAGCUACAAAAGUUGCAGACAGCAAAGGGAUCAAGUGACCCCAGAGAUGAAAUCUGUGACUCUCUGGUGGAGCAACAUGAUAGUAAUAAACAAAGGUUGAGUGCCUGCUGUAUAAAGCAACCUCUGGAGUGCCUGAUAUCUACUAACUCUUUUAGCACCCACUCGACCCUGUGAGAUGCGUAUUACUUUAUUGUAUCUACCACUGUAAAAAAGAAUGAACCAAGCUACAGCAAUAUUAUGUUGCUUGCCCUGAGUCACACAGCUGAGUAAGUCACAGGAGUUUGUGCUCAUAAUGACUUUGCUAUGCUGAUGUUUGAACCUGGAACCAUUCAGCAACCCUCCAGCUAAUAUGGCUCCAUGCUCUACUUCUGGAAAAGCUGAGUUCCUGCAGCCUUGUCCUACAUCACCCAAAAGAGCUGGAAAAGAAUGCAGUGAGUUCCAUUCUAUUUGUUCCGAGAAUAGGAAAGCCACAUUGAAGCAAUAUCUUAAAGAGAAAUCUAUAGUUAGGAGUGAUGAAGAUUUGAAACAGAUGUCAGCAGAAAGAAAAAGGGAGAGGCACCAUGAUAAUUAUACUCAGUGAUGCUUUUUAAAUGACAUAUAUUCAGUUAAAUAUAGGGAGGUUUGCUGCUAGCCAUAUGAACAAAGCACAAGAGAAUUCCUGGAUCAAGGCAGACUUAAAGAGACAUUGAAAAAAAAACAAAAUUCAAAAUUUUGACCUAGUGCAGGAAGAAGUGCAAGUACAGGGGAAGUGGAGGGAAGGAGUGGGGAGGCUGGCACAGAGAUGGCACGGGCAGAUACGAGCAGAUUGACUCGCCAGGACUGUCAUUGGGCCACCGCUCUUAGCAGGAAUUUCACCAUUGAAUGACCUAAUUAUUGUCUUGGGAAAAACACAAGAGCUCCUGUCCAUAACAGGAUAACAGAUGUAUUUCAGUGGAGCACAGAAUAGGCCGGAUGGUGACUAGCAAGAAUAAAAGCCCAAGUGGACUGAAGAAUCCAUCCAAGAUAUGGUCAGGACGGGCUUGUGGAAAACUUGUGCAAUAAUGAGAAGAAAUGUUAUUUGUCACUACCUUUUUUAGGCAGCUGUGUGGAUAAACCUACUUUGGGGUAGGAGCUGAGCCUCAGGCCUGUGACCGCUAGAAGCCAGACUUGAAGCCAGGAAAGAGGCCGCUCUUCCCAGGAGUUGGGAGAAUUUGACUUUGGUGUAGAAUCCAAAAGGCGGGAGAGAGGGUUCCAGGGAGGAGCUGGGGGUGGAGGCUAAAAAAGGAGCCCUGGUUGCCAAAGCCAGGAGGUGACUUUACAGGAGAGCAGCAGUGACUAAGCCAGGAAGUGACUUUGCGGGAGAGCAGCAGUGACUAAUUCAGGAGGUGACUUUGCGGAAGAGCAGCAGUGACUAAGCCAGGAGGUGACUUUGCGGGAAAGCUGCAGUGAUUGUGAAGUUGUUCACAUACAGGGGGUCAUGGGACACCCUCUACGAUCUCCCGUGGGAAAUCCUCAGUAAGCACUCUCACUCUAGCAAUAAGCACUCUCACUCUAGAAAGCCCUUUUGGUGCUUCCAGUCACAUUGCCUGGCCCACGCUCGGUGAGAGCUCACAUGCGCUUCUGGUCCUGGCCUUCUCAGACGCCACAGUAGCUGCCCACCCUGCAAAAGACCUGGAAGGGGAGGGGAGCCUGUGCCACAGCAGCCAGAGGAUGAAUGUCCUGUCAUGAACAAUUCCUGGGGGCACUAUGUACAUUUUGUAGAAGUCCUGCCAGAAUGGAACCUUGCUGUCUACAGCAGCGACCUUGAUAACACAUCAUUUGAUUUUUCCUCCUUUUGUGACUCAUGCUUCUGCUACCUCACCCUGGCUUCCUGAGAUCACCUCCCAGAUGAACUCCCUGCACUGAAUUCUGGUCUCAGUUUGCUUUGGGGAGAACUCAAAACUAAGACAUUCACCACUGUGUUUGUGUGAGCCAAAUCUUCACAUCAUGAGCAGGCGCUAUGUCUGCGUUCAGCCAGACAAACAGCAAACCAGCAACUGCCCACAUGAAUACAGUCCAUGGACAAGAGGAGAGUGAUAGCUGAGCGACUUUGGGACUUGCUGUCAAAGAUACCUGUCUCCCUCUCUUUCAUUCUCUUUACCUUUCCAUCAGACUAUGUGGCUGCCUCAUUCCCCCGUGUCCUGCAAGCAAGGAUAUUAACUAUACAAACAGUCCAGCUUAAAACAAAAUGGGCAGAAUAUUUGAAUAGACACUUCACAAAGGAAGACAAACAAAUUACCAAUAAGUGUGUUAACAAUUCUUAACAUCGUUAGUCAUCAGGGAAGUGGAAAUUAAUACCACAAGGAGAAAUCACUACACACUAAAGUGGCUAAAAUGAAAAAGAGUAAUGACAUCAAAUUCUAAUCUGAGUAUAGAGCAACUGUUGAUGGAAAUAUAAGAUGGUACAGCCACUUUGGAUAUAAUAAAAUGAUGCAACCACUUUGGAAAAGUUUGGCAGCUUUAUGUAAAACUAAGCAAAUACCUUUGGCCCAGCAAUUCCACUCAAGCAAUCCUUCCCUAAAGAAAUAAAAAUAUAUAUCCGCCAAAAGAUUUGUACAAGAA
Homo sapiens (human) is the source of this 2750-nucleotide long non-coding RNA. Lineage: Eukaryota; Metazoa; Chordata; Mammalia; Primates; Hominidae. The record is from Ensembl.